GAGCAAAGUCAUAUGUGUCUCCCCAGCUGCCGAGGUGCGCACAGUGCCAACAAGGGUCGGAAAAAGAAGCAAGGGGGUACUUUGCUCCUGUUCUGGAAAAUGGAGCCAGUCUAUCCACCACAGUCGCCCUUCUUUUCUCAUGGCAGGUUAUCUGACUGAGAAGCAGGAAGUGGAAGUCAUGUUCUUGAUAAAACAAUGGCUGACUUGGAUGUUCCAGCAGAAGAGGAAGUGCUGUAGAAGCAACAGCAAAGGGGACCUAUUCGGCCAGCUGCUAUUGUUCCUUGACAUCUCCACUGUUUUGCUGUAAAUAUCACCAGCCUUCCCCAACAUCCCUGAGAUUUGAGAGUCUUUGAAAUUACAAGAUAGAAUGGCGGAGGAGUACAGCUCAUCUUGGCUUUCCAUCAAUUUACCUCAAGCAUCUAAAACAGCAAGGGACAUUUCUGAACAGCCUGGAGUAUUCAUCCUGGAUCUGAAAUGAAAAGAUACCAUGAGCACCUUGGCUUACUAUCAGAAUCCUUGAUGUCUGGAUCAACUGCAGUGUCUCAUCUGAGAUAACAUGUGUUCAGUAAUUUUUCCACCUGACAAGGGAAGGGAAGUGGAGAUGAAGGGACUCUUUAGACUACAUCACCUUAUGAGAAAAUGAUUCAACAAGUCUUUGGAAGACUGGACAGUCUUCAAGAAUGUCUCACCUGGAUUGAUCAUGCAGGAGGGGGAACAAGAUAAUUGCUAAAGAGAU
Pantherophis guttatus is the source of this 736-nucleotide long non-coding RNA. RefSeq lists it as uncharacterized. Lineage: Eukaryota; Metazoa; Chordata; Lepidosauria; Squamata; Colubridae. The record is from RefSeq and is a predicted model, not a curated record.